Molecule: unclassified non-coding RNA, 307 nt
Filed under: uncultured fungus
Lineage: Eukaryota; Fungi
Description: sequence contains ITS2
Rfam family: 5.8S ribosomal RNA (bases 1-52)
Source: RNAcentral
AACGCACCUUGCGCUCCUUGGUAUUCCGAGGAGCAUGCCUGUUUGAGUGUCAUUAAAUUCUCAACCAUUAUCAACUUUUGCUGGUAAUAGCUUGGAUGUGGGGGUCUAUUUUGCUGGCUUCUCAGAUAGUCAGCUCCCCUUAAAUGCAUUAGCUGGUGCCCUGCGUGGACUGUCUAUUGGUGUGAUAAUUAUCAACGCUAUAGACAUCUGCAAUCAUAUGGGUUUGCGCUGCUUCUAACAGUCUGUUGAUUCAGACAAUACAUGACAAUUUGACCUCAAAUCAGGUAGGACUACCCGCUGAACUUAA